GACGAACGCUGGCGGCGUGCCUAACACAUGCAAGUGGAGCGACGAACCGGGCUUCGGCCCGGGGCCAAGCCGCGAACGGGUGAGUAACACGUGGGUAACCUGCCCUGAUGAUUGGGACAACCCGAGGAAACUCGGGCUAAUACCGAAUGUGCCCUCCGACCAUAAGGUCUGCGGGGAAAGGAAGCUUCGGCCUCCGCAUCGGGAUGGGCCCGCGGCGCAUUAGCUUGUUGGUGAGGUAACGGCUCACCAAGGCGACGAUGCGUAGCCGGUCUGAGAGGACGAUCAGCCACACUGGGACUGAGACACGGCCCAGACUCCUACGGGAGGCAGCAGUGGGGAAUCUUGCGCAAUGCGCGAAAGCGUGACGCAGCAACGCCGCGUGGGGAAGACGGCCUCGG
This 398-nucleotide ribosomal RNA is filed under the name uncultured bacterium. RNAcentral's name for it is "bacterial SSU rRNA". It matches the Rfam family "Bacterial small subunit ribosomal RNA", at positions 28 to 420 of the family's 1533-position model. The record is from RNAcentral.